GGGGGCGUAGCUCAGCUUGGUUAGAGCACUUGACUGUCACUCAAGAGGCCGCGGGUUCGAGCCCCGUCGCUCCCG
This 75-nucleotide transfer RNA is filed under the name Gemmatimonas sp. Its description in RNAcentral is "tRNA-Asp". It matches the Rfam family "tRNA". From Rfam's summary of the family: Transfer RNA (tRNA) molecules are approximately 80 nucleotides in length. Lineage: Bacteria; Pseudomonadati; Gemmatimonadota; Gemmatimonadia; Gemmatimonadales; Gemmatimonadaceae. The record is from RNAcentral. RNAcentral also lists the same sequence under 3 other names.